This 753-nucleotide ribosomal RNA is filed under the name uncultured bacterium. Its description in RNAcentral is "bacterial SSU rRNA". It matches the Rfam family "Bacterial small subunit ribosomal RNA", at positions 638 to 1391 of the family's 1533-position model. The record is from RNAcentral.
UGACUNGAGUGCAGAAGGGGAGAGUGGAAUUCCAUGUGUAGCGGUGAAAUGCGUAGAUAUANGGAGGAACACCAGUGGCGAAAGCGGCUCUCUGGUCUGUCACUGACGCUGAGGCUCGAAAGCGUGGGUAGCGAACAGGAUUAGAUACCCUGGUAGUCCACGCCGUAAACGAUGAGUGCUAGGUGUUAGGCCCUUUCCGGGGCUUAGUGCCGGAGCUAACGCAAUAAGCACUCCGCCUGGGGAGUACGACCGCAUGGUUGAAACUCAAAGGAAUUGACGGGGGCCCGCACAAGCGGUGGAGCAUGUGGUUUAAUUCGAAGCAACGCGAAGAACCUUACCAGGUCUUGACAUCCCGAUGCUAUUCUUAGAGAUAGGAAGUUACUUCGGUACAUCGGAGACAGGUGGUGCAUGGUUGUCGUCAGCUCGUGUCGUGAGAUGUUGGGUUAAGUCCCGCAACGAGCGCAACCCUUAUUGUUAGUUGCCAUCAUUAAGUUGGGCACUCUAGCGAGACUGCCGGUAAUAAACCGGAGGAAGGUGGGGAUGACGUCAAAUCAUCAUGCCCCUUAUGACCUGGGCUACACACGUGCUACAAUGGUCGGUACUACGAGUUGCGAGCCGGUGACGGCAAGCUAAUCUCUGAAAGCCGAUCUCAGUUCGGAUUGGAGGCUGCAACUCGCCUCCAUGAAGUCGGAAUCGCUAGUAAUCGCGGAUCAGCACGCCGCGGUGAAUACGUUCCCGGGCCUUGUACACACC